AGGAGAGAGGUUGCUGAUGGCUGUGGGAAAGGUCGCGACCUCAACAAGGGCUGUGGUGCCCAUGAGGGUCAGAUGGACGCUGCAGUGAGGAGGGAGCAGAAACCCAGAUUGAGGCCAGCUGGUGGAGAGAAGAGAGGAGAAUAAAAGCUCCAGAAGCAGCUGAAGAUAAGAGACCCUCCAUCUAUGUGCUACAGGAGAGCACCACCGGCAGAGGUGCUGCAUCCAGCCAGCGCUCCCUCCAAGGCCACGCCCCCGGGGCCGGGCCUACCCCCAGUGGGAGGGGCGCCUUGGAGUGGAUGGAGAUGCCCCACGGCCUGGACCACCUGUGGCGGAGUCUGAAGGCUGCCCUGCCCCAACGCCUAGUCCCAGACCGGCUGCCUUUCCACGAGAGUCCUGUUUUGCGGAUGACCGAGUGGCUUUCCUUCUGAUGACCCCUCUCUAAGUGAGGAGAGAGAACCUCUGUCCUUCAACCUUGCAAUCCUGUUGUGUCCAUCUUACAGACAAUGGAAUGGAGGCCCAGACACUGUCCCAUGGUCCCCAGCCCCCAGCAGAUAAGAAAGCUGAGGCUCAGAAGAUCAGCAACUCAUGUAAGGAUGGAACCAGCUCUGUCUGUUCUCAAAGCCUGCACUGCCCUUUCACCAUGCUGCCGCACGCAGUGGGAUCCACGGGAGAAUGGGUGCCCAGCUCUGUGCUGCCGCCAGGACGCCCAGUCGGGAUACAUGAAACCUGCUUUCCCAGCAAGAAACUGUUCAGGGCGCUGAGAGGGGGAAGACUGAGAGGCGCUGUGCCCCCGAGCCUCAGUCCACACAGCAUCACUCUGUGAGGGGGUGUCAGACAGGUCCUCAAGGAAGCUGUGACCUAAUAAGGGCAGUGAGGCAGAGCUCAGUGUCCCAAGAAGAGAUGACAAGGGCAAGGCUGUUGAUGCCUCAGAAAACUCCGCUGUGUGCUCCUGAGAGAAGGAGAGCAGGAAGGCAAAGAACGUUUCUGAAAGUGGACCACACUGCCAGAACCGUGGACUCGGGGCCUUCUGAAGUUGGUUAUGUACCUAACCAGAGGGUCUUAACUGAGGCAGUGGUUGACCUGUCAGCCCCAGGAAUAUGGCUUUGAUUUGCUAACAGGUCCUAAUGAAGUUAUUUAUGAAUACAUGAAUAAUCCUUUACGGUAGGAAUGUAGUUGCCACCCUAAACCUCACCUAUUGAUUUCCUGAUGUUUAGUAGAUGGUAGUCACUUAAGGAGCCUUAAUGUGGACACCAUACUCACACACACACACACACACACACACACGCACGCACGUGAGUGCACAGGUGUACAUAGGAAGAGAAGCUGAUGAAAUGUUCAAGGUGGCCAUAAUUGCAGUGUUAUGUCUUCUUUUUAGCUAUUUUUUAAACUAGAUACUGUCAGAAUUGAGUUGAAUUGUAAACAAGUGAUUCAUGCCCAUUGUAGGAAACUUAGGAAAUGCCGGUGGCCGAAGGGAAAGACUGCUUACCCUUAUUCCGCUCCCGCAGGGUUGUCUCUGACAGCAUUUUGGCUAUAGCCUUCUGUGCAGAUACGUUUGUUUUAAAACAAAAGUAGAAACACACUGCACAUAAUUUUUAGAGGCUUGCUUUUUAAUAUUUUACAAUAUUUAUAAGUAUAUAUCCCUCUAAGUAACAUAUACUUCUAUAAUAUUUUUUAAAAGGCUGCUUUCUGUACUCUGUCAUAUAAAUAUAUCCUAAUUUAUUUAACAAACCUCUGAUUGUACAUUUAGUUUGUGUUUUAUUUUGCUAUGAUUAUACAUCUUUGUACCCAUUACCAAUCUGUUUUAACAUAGCUUUUUUAAUGAAAAAUUUCAAGCAAUCGCAAAAGUAGAGAGUGAGGUGGGGAACUCCUGCUUACCCACCACCAGCCUCAGUAAUGACGAGUGUGUCAUCAUCUGUGUCCCCUCCCGCCCCUGCUGGAUUCGAUGCAAAUCUAAGCUCUCAUAUAAUUUCUUCCGUAAAUACUUCAGAAUGUGUUUCUAGAAGAUUAGGGCUCUCUCUUGUUUUAGUAACCUGACCACCAUUCCAUUAUCAAUCUAUAAAAAUUAAUAAUAAUUCUACUCAAAAGAAUUGAAAGCAGGGUCUUGAAGAGGUAUUUGUAUACUCGUGUUCACAGCAGCGUUAUUCGCAACUGCCAAGAGGUGGAAGCAACCCAAGAGUCCGUUGAUGGAUGAAUGGGUAAACAAAACGUGGUGUAUACAUGCAAUGGAAUAUGCGAUAUUGUGAUUUAUAAUAAAUAUAUAUUUGGUCUUCAUCCCCGUUUCUGACACAGAGCUCUUAAAACUUGAAAUUUCCUAAGUCAUGACAGGGAUAAAGGUGUCUUCUGUCUUGUUAAUGAGGUGGCUUUGGACCCACCCUGAGGAUGGGGCUGGUUGCUCGGGGAACCAACCUUGUGAUUAGAGGGUUGAACUUUCAGUUCCACCCCUGACCUCCGGGCAGAGGAGAGGAGCUGGAGGUUGCAUCAACCACCAAUGGCUAAUGAUUUAAUCAAUCAUGGCUGUCUAACUAAGUCUCCAUAAAAACCCGAAAGGACGGGGUUCGGAUUGGUGAACACGUGGGAACUG
Equus caballus (horse) is the source of this 2581-nucleotide long non-coding RNA. Lineage: Eukaryota; Metazoa; Chordata; Mammalia; Perissodactyla; Equidae. The record is from Ensembl.